ACCGGGUGGGUGUGAGACCCAGUUUCUGUCCCAAUUUCUGUCCCAGUCUGGCCCGGCUCCUUCAGGAACUACUUUAUCUGAUGUGUAUAUCAGCUGCUUAUUUCUUCUUGGCCUUUACACACAGUAAAGGUUUACUGUGCUGCAGUUCUACAUGUCUUUAUUCUUUUGACCAUUAGGGGGUCUCCAAUGUAAACCCUUGAGAAAUUAAACAUUUUCAACAAAUCUGUAAUAAAGCUGCAACUUUUGGGGUUUUGAGGGUUUUUUUUUUUUUUUUUGGAGAGUUUUUUCAGGUUUGGAGGGUUUGAGGGGUUUUUGGACUGUUUUGGCGGGUUUUUUGGGUUUUGAGUUUUUUAGCAUUUCGGAGGGUUUCAGAGGUUUUCUGAGUUUUUUUUUUUAAUUAUUUUUUUUAGGGUUUUGGAGGGCAUUGGAGUGUGAUGAUCAUGGUGACAAUGUUGAUGACGACGAUGAUGAUGAUGAUGAUGAUGAUCAUGAUGACAAUGAUGGUGACGAUGAUGAUGACUAUGACCAUGAUGAUGACAAUGUUGAUGACGUGAUUAUUAUGAUGAUGACGAUGAAGAUGAUGAUGACGGCGACGAUGAUGAUGAUAACGAUGGUGAUGAUGAUGACAAUGACGAUGAUAUGACUGCGAUGAUGGUGACGAUGAUGAUGAUGAUUACGAUGAUGGUGACGACGAUGAUGGUGAUUAUGAUUACGAUGAUGAGAACGAUGACUAUUAUGAUUACGAUGAUGGUGACGACGAUGAUGACGGCGACUAUGAUGAUGACGGCAAUGAGGGUGACAAUGAUGGCAAUGAUGACAAUGACGACGAUGAUGACGAUUAUGAGGACGAUGAUGAUGAUGAUGGUGAUGGUGAUAAUGGUGGUGAUGAUGGUGAUGAUGAUCUGAAGUCUUUAUUUUCUCCUACAGCGUGUAUGAAGCAGUGCUGCACGGAGCAGAUGACGGAAUGUCUGGACUGGAUUAUGGCUGAAUCCAUGCUGAGGGAGGUGUUGACUAAAUUAGAGAUGGUGCUGGACCAACAAACCACUGAGCUUGCUUCAACUACAGGUGUUCCAGGUGCAGUCUUUGGAUACUGAUGAAGAUUUACUGCCCUGCAAGAUCUUCCUCAACUGCAUAGUCUGGAGCAAAGGAUGCAACAGAGCCCAGAUUGCAAGCAAAAACUGGUGACACACUCGUACUCAAAGCACAACAUUCAACACCACUUUGAUAUGAGGGAACAGUUAUGACCUAAUCUUUGGUAGAGGAGCAAAACAUGGAAAGCACACAGGGCAGGGUAACUGCAGGAGUAGUGAGAAGCACUGACACAGUUGACAAGGCAAUAAAUGCUUAUUAAUUAUUUAUAUUUUAUAUUAUUUUAUAUUAUAUUAUUGUUUUAAAAAUCAUCGGUUUCGGGUAAACUGGUUGGCGCUUAUUGACAGGGCAGAUGUGCUUGACUGCACCUGGCGCAUAUUGAAGAGGGUGAUUGCUAACUCCCUGGCAAAGAACCUCAAUUGGAGGGGAGUCAAUGGAAAGACUUCACUGGCCACUCUCCAACUUGGAGAGGUCAUGAUUGAAACCUCUUCACGGCUAAAGCUGCAGAGAUGGAGGUCGAGGGGACCAUGAAGAGGUGGCUCCAGCUGGCAUCAGAUCGAGAGUGCGGGCGCAAGAGAAGACUUUUGAAAACUUUUGCAAAAAGAAGGUAUUUAGAGUGUUUUAACUGUGGUGUCUUUGUUAAUUUGUUAAAAUGUUCAUAUUAUAGUCUAUUUUUGAUUGUUUAUAAAAGUCCUUGCUGUUUUUAAGUGGUUGAAAUUGUGUGUGUGUGUGUGUUGGUAGCUGGGUGGCUAUACAGUUGCGGUCGGAAGUUUACAUACCCCUUGCAGAAUCUACGAAAUCUUAAUACUCUUAACAAAAUAAGAUUGAUCAUAAAAAUCCUAAGUUUCUUAUUUAGUACCACCAUGAAUAAGCUAUUUCACAUAACAGAUGUUUACAUAUAGUCCACAAGAUAAUAGCUGAAUUAAUCAAAAUUACCCCAUUCAAAAGUUUACACACGUUUGAUUCUUCAUACUGUGUGUCGUUACCUGAAUGAUCCACGACUCUUUUUAUGUGUUAUGAUAGUUGUUCAUGAG
This is a long non-coding RNA of Ictalurus furcatus (blue catfish), 2123 nucleotides long. RefSeq lists it as uncharacterized. The record is from RefSeq and is a predicted model, not a curated record. The transcript has 4 exons. Lineage: Eukaryota; Metazoa; Chordata; Actinopteri; Siluriformes; Ictaluridae.